CGAACACACCUUCCCUGUUUUUGUGACUCAUUAGAUAGGUAUUUCACUUGACCCAUAUAUUUCAUCUUUUAGUACUGUUAUUUUUUUGUGUUAUAAAGUCAACCUGUAGCUUUAAUAUAUAAAAAUGAUAGAAUCUGAAGCGAGACGAUGUAUGAAAUAUUCUUACUUUGAACGAUAUCAAGACUAAAUACUCAACUCAAACACGCCCUAACAUAAAAAGGUGCACUCGAUUUUCUCUUUUCGAUACAAUUGUUACCUAUUUUUUGGAAUUUUUUCUUCAGUCACAUAAUGGAAGGGCAGACACGAAAAUUACUGAACUAAUAGAUUGAUAUCUUUUCCGUCCGUGGUAAUUUUUUCAAAAAAAUCGGAGGUUAUGCAUUUUUGUCAUCCAACUUGAAAGAUACCCAUGUCGUCGACUUGAUAUCUAAUUGUUCUGCUUAACUAUGUACUAGAUAAAUUGAAAACUUAUGCAAAUGGUGUUUUUGAAAUAAAAC
RNAcentral lists this long non-coding RNA (494 nucleotides) under Mytilus galloprovincialis (Mediterranean mussel). The record is from RNAcentral. Lineage: Eukaryota; Metazoa; Mollusca; Bivalvia; Mytilida; Mytilidae.